AUUGAACGCUGGCGGCAGGCCUAACACAUGCAAGUCGAGCGGAUGAAGGGAGCUUGCUCCUGGAUUCAGCGGCGGACGGGCGAGUAAUGCCUAGGAAUCUGCCUGGUAGGGGGGGAUAACGUCCGGAAACGGGCGCUAAUACCGCAUACGUCCUGAGGGAGAAAGUGGGGGAUCUUCGGACCUCACGCUAUCAGAUGAGCCGAGGUCGGAUUAGCUAGUUGGUGGGGUAAAGGCCUACCAAGGCGACGAUCCGUAACUGGUCUGAGAGGAUGAUCAGUCACACUGGAACUGAGACACGGUCCAGACUCCUACGGGAGGCAGCAGUGGGGAAUAUUGGACAAUGGGCGAAAGCCUGAUCCAGCCAUGCCGCGUGUGUGAAGAAGGUCUUCGGAUUGUAAAGCACUUUAAGUUGGGAGGAAGGGCAGUAAGUUAAUACCUUGCUGUUUUGACGGUACCAACAGAAUAAGCACCGGCUAACUUCGUG
This 484-nucleotide ribosomal RNA is filed under the name uncultured bacterium. RNAcentral's name for it is "partial 16S ribosomal RNA". It matches the Rfam family "Bacterial small subunit ribosomal RNA", at positions 30 to 507 of the family's 1533-position model. The record is from RNAcentral.